Molecule: transfer RNA, 52 nt
Filed under: Scarelus pahangensis
Lineage: Eukaryota; Metazoa; Arthropoda; Insecta; Coleoptera; Lycidae
Description: tRNA-Leu
Source: RNAcentral
UAUCGAAAUAAUUUAUUUUAGUACGAAAAGACCAAAUAAAGUUUACUAUUAA